UAAGUGUACAUCACUAGCAACUGUUGCAACUGUUCAAACAGAGCUGUUAGGAAAGAAGCCGUGUGAGGUUUUCUGGGGUGUGUUUUUUAAGGAAUGGUCUAAUAACUUUCAACUAUACCUAUUGUCCAGGUAGUCUUUGAUUUCUGUUUCCUUGGCCUCACUGACUGCCCCUGUGAGCAUGACUACCUCCUGCUGUGAGCAUGGUGGGUGCUGUGCACUUGUCCCAGCCCUGGCCCCACGCUGAAGCACUGCAGCUGGGGAGGUGAAAGUCCACUGUGGGCUGGUGGUGGCCACGGGGUGCUGGGCUUGGGGUAGUGCUGCUUUAGGUCACUGCAGGAGCGGAGGUCUUGUUCCUUUCUUGUUCCUUGCUUCAGUGGUUCUGCCUGGCAAGAGGAGGUGUGUAGGGGAGUGCAGGGAGCGCUGGGCCACAGAGCCAUCCUCACAGCUGCCUAGGCCAUAAUUUUUCUGGUGGGCGGUGGGUGGCUUCUGUGGGCUUGCUGGGCUAGGGGAGGAACUGGUUCUCUUUCUACCCCUCUGCCAGUACGUCCUCCUAAGCUUGUUUUCUGCAGUAUUAGGAGGAAGCCGUCAAUGAAGACUGAAACAACCAGUAAUGUCUAAUUUAAAAUUAAAAGACAACACAAUAAAUAAACACAAUAGCCAGAGUAUUGUUGUUUACUUAGCUGUUUUGGGGGAGAAAAACAUGCUCUGGUUAGGGGUUAAAUGCAAAUUCUGCCUGGGUGAAUUAAGGUCUGAUUCCAAUUGAAACCUUAAAAAAUAAAGCUUGCAACAUGUCGUUUAAUAAUUUAUGGAGUUAGUCUUGACUUUUGGUCAAAUGUUUUCGUUACUUAAAUAGCUUUGCUGCCAACUAAAUAUAUCAGUGCAGCAGAGAGGACAGAUGAAGUUCUGAGGUGGUUUUGAUGCCAAAAUGCCAACAUUUGAUGAUAUUUUAGAGCAGGUUGGUGAAUUCCACAGGUUCCAAAAGCAAACCUUUUUCAUCCUGUGUUUGCUCUCUGCCACCUUCACUCCCAUUUACGUGGGUGUCGUCUUCUUCGGGUUCACCCCCGAGCACCGCUGCUUCAGCCCCGGUGUGGCGGAGCUGAGCCGGCGCUGCGGCUGGAGCCUGGCGGAGCAGCUGAACCACACCGUGCCCGAGUGGGGCGGCCACGGGGCCACUUUUGACAGCCGCUGCAGGAGGUACGACGUGGACUGGAACGCAACGGGCCUCAGCUGCACCGACCCCCUGGGCAGCCUCACGGGCAACCGGAGCUCCGUCCCCCUCAGCCCCUGCCAGGACGGGUGGCUCUACGACUACCCAGGGACCUCGCUUGUCACCGAGUUUAACCUGGUGUGCGAGGACUCCUGGAAGUUAGACCUCUUUCAGUCGUCUGUGAACGCUGGCUUUUUUAUUGGCUCCGUAAACGUUGGCUACAUAGCAGACAGGUUUGGCCGUAAAUUUUGCCUCUUAACCACAAUUCUCGCAAAUGUGGUUUGCGGCAUCCUCCUAGUCUUUGUGCCCUCCUACCUGUGGAUAGUGAUUUUCCGCUUCUUGCAAGGGCUGGUCAGCAAGGGCUGCUGGACCGCGGGCUACAUCCUAGUGACGGAAGUCGUCGGGCCACAGUACAGGAGGACGGUGGGGAUUCUCUACCAGACGGCCUUCUCCGUUGGGCUCCUGGUGUUUGAUGCCAUUGCUUAUGUGAUCCCUCACUGGCGGUGGCUGCAGCUCACUGUCACCCUGCCCAGCUGCUUCUUCCUGCUCUUCCUCUGGUUCCUACCGGAGUCUCCCAGGUGGCUGAUAUCUCAAGGAAAAAAUGAUGAAGCCAAGAAAAUUGUCAGUGAUAUAGCUAAAAAAAAUCAGAAAAAGAUGCCUCCCCAUUUUGAGGAUAUUAAAUUUGAAGAUGAUGAUGAGGGCGGAAAGCAGAGUCCUUCGCUAAUUGACCUUGUCAGGACACCACAGAUGAGAAAAAACACAUUCAUUUUAAUGUACAACUGGUUCACGAGCUCCAUCCUCUACCAGGGGCUCAUCAUGCACAUGGGACUAGCUGGUGGGAACAUCUACCUGGAUUUCCUCUAUUCUGCUCUUGUUGAGUUCCCAGCUGCCUUCAUCAUCAUUGUCACCAUUGACCGCGUUGGGCGGCGUUACCCCUGGGCUGCAGCAAACCUGGUGGCUGGGGCUGCCUGCCUUGUCACAGCACUGAUCCCAGCAGACAUACAUUGGCUAAAACUGAUUGCUGCUUGCCUUGGGAGAAUGGGAAUCACAAUGGCUUUUGAAAUGGUUUGCUUUGUAAACACUGAGCUAUAUCCAACAUACAUCAGGUAGGUGCAUCCUUCUCCCAGUGGGUCAUUUGGCCAGGAAAUGUUGAAGCCAAUGUGUAUUUUGUGUUAUACUAAAUGAAAUAAUUCUCAGAACUACACAGGUAGUGCUGAUCAUAAAGCAAGUGGGAGCACAAGUAAGGUGCUUUAAAAGGUAAGUUGAUGAAGAAAACAAAUGUGCUUCAAGGCAGGUGGAAACUCAUGUGGAUGAAAUAAAGGUAAAAGCGGGGACAACCAGGAUGGAUGGGGGAUCUGAAGUCCCAUGUAGUGCUGAGAUUUGUAUCUUAUUUGAAUCAAAAUAACAUUGAAAAGGGUCUGUCCAGAGUGGCUGCUGCUAUGGAGAAUGUACAUUCACCCAAGCCCUUGACCUGAGGACUGGAAUUUUCCUUACUUGUAAGUGGGCUGCAGGGUGUGUAGCUCAGACGUAGACAUAUGCACUACAGGUAACUAAAGCUUGGAUGCUAAUUCUUCAAAGUUUCCUUCUUGCCUGUGCCCGUAGACCAUUGCAUACAGGGAAGAUGUCUAUACUGAACAAUUGAAUCUUUUCUUCACUGGAAAGAAAAUGAUUAUAUGAAGUUACACCACAUCAUAUGAAAAUCUUAUUUCUCUAUCCAUAAUCAACAUAACGGAAGAUAAACUUUCAGAUUUUAUUAAUGGUGUAUAACAACCAGAAGCAUCAUUUGAUACCUUUGUACUAAGUCACCCAAGAGAUACUGAAGCAACAAUUUUCUUUUUACUGUAUCCGGAGAUUCUCCUCUGAUACUUUGGGCCUGAUUCUCUUUUAUCUUUAACCUUUGGAAUUUGCUCACACCUGUGUGAAAAUGCAGGAAUCUCGGGGUGAUGGUCUGCUCUGCCUUGUGCGAUGUUGGUGGAAUUGUUGUCCCAUUUAUUGUCUACAGACUGGUGGAAAUCUGGCAUGAGCUGCCUCUGGUGGUCUUCA
Molecule: RNA transcript, 3250 nt
Organism: Oxyura jamaicensis (ruddy duck)
Lineage: Eukaryota; Metazoa; Chordata; Aves; Anseriformes; Anatidae
Gene name: solute carrier family 22 member 2-like
Exons: 9
Source: RefSeq, a predicted model, not a curated record